AGAUUGAACGCUGGCGGCAUGCUUUACACAUGCAAGUCGAACGGUAACAGGCCGCAAGGUGCUGACGAGUGGCGAACGGGUGAGUAAUGCAUCGGAACGUGCCCAGUCGUGGGGGAUAACGGCAGCGAAAGCUGUGCUAAUACCGCAUACGAUCUAUGGAUGAAAGCGGGGGACCGAAAGGCCUCGCGCGAUUGGAGCGGCCGAUGUCAGAUUAGCUAGUUGGUGGGUAAAGGCCCACCAAGGCGACGAUCUGUAGCUGGUCUGAGAGGACGACCAGCCACACUGGAACUGAGACCACGGUCCAGACUCCGUAACGGGAGGCUAGCAGGUAGGGGUAAUUUUGGACAAGUGGGCGCGAAGCCUGACUCCAGACAAGU
RNAcentral lists this ribosomal RNA (377 nucleotides) under uncultured soil bacterium. Its description in RNAcentral is "bacterial SSU rRNA". It matches the Rfam family "Bacterial small subunit ribosomal RNA", at positions 26 to 397 of the family's 1533-position model. The record is from RNAcentral.